UUUAAUUGAAGAGUUUGAUCAUGGCUCAGAUUGAACGCUGGCGGCAGGCCUAACACAUGCAAGUCGAACGGUAACAGGGAGCAGCUUGCUGCUCUGCU
This 98-nucleotide ribosomal RNA is filed under the name Cronobacter sakazakii. Its description in RNAcentral is "partial 16S ribosomal RNA". It matches the Rfam family "Bacterial small subunit ribosomal RNA", at positions 1 to 93 of the family's 1533-position model. The record is from RNAcentral. Lineage: Bacteria; Pseudomonadati; Pseudomonadota; Gammaproteobacteria; Enterobacterales; Enterobacteriaceae.